RNAcentral lists this unclassified non-coding RNA (343 nucleotides) under Hevea brasiliensis (rubber tree). Lineage: Eukaryota; Viridiplantae; Streptophyta; Magnoliopsida; Malpighiales; Euphorbiaceae. The record is from RNAcentral.
GUUUGACACCCAGGAAGGCGUGAACCUCUGGCAGUUCUAUUAAAUUGAAUAGUGAAAGUCUUGAAUGGAGUAGCCGAGAAGCCCCUACCCAAUGCUUUAACAUAUGCCUCCUUCAGAGUCCACAAUUUUAUGAAUUCCUGCCGCUGGCUUUCAGGAUCUGAAAUAGCAGAUAAAACUUCUAUUUCAUUUGGCGAAAAGAAACGUUUAGCAAAAGCUAUGAUGUUGUUCUUUAUCUUUCUUGUCUUCUCUUCCACAUCUAUACCAAUUGGAGAAUGCAAAGUCACUCCACAUGCUAUCAUGGAUGAAGAAUGUGAGAUGUUGAAUUGCAAUGGUGGUAGACAUA